Molecule: ribosomal RNA, 451 nt
Filed under: uncultured bacterium
Lineage: Bacteria
Description: partial 16S ribosomal RNA
Rfam family: Bacterial small subunit ribosomal RNA
Source: RNAcentral
GUGGGGAAUAUUGGACAAUGGGGGGAACCCUGAUCCAGCCAUGCCGCGUGUGUGAAGAAGGCCUUUUGGUUGUAAAGCACUUUAAGCGAGGAGGAGGCUACCGAGAUUAAUACUCUUGGAUAGUGGACGUUACCCACAGAAUAAGCACCGGCUAACUCUGUGCCAGCAGCCGCGGUAAUACAGAGGGUGCGAGCGUUAAUCGGAUUUACUGUGCGUAAAGCGCGCGAAGGUGGUUAAUUAAGUCAAAUGUGAAAUCCCCGAGCUUAACUUGGGAAUUGCAUUCGAUACUGGUUAGCUAGAGUAUGGGAGAGGAUGGUAGAAUUCCAGGUGUAGCGGUGAAAUGCGUAGAGAUCUGGAGGAAUACCGAUGGCGAAGGCAGCCAUCUGGCCUAAUACUGACACUGAGGUGCGAAAGCAUGGGGAGCAAACAGGAUUAGAAACCCGGGUAGUCC